UCCGAUGUGGGAUUAUUGGGGUGUCACAGACUCCCCCCGUUAAGGCCCUGACGUCCUCGUCAGUCCAAUCACACACACAGCCCAAGAUCACCAGGCGAUGUGAGACUCGUCUCGCUAGCCCGUCAUCCAGACCCUGGCUCAGCCGAGACUCGCCACACAUGUCCAGCUGGUGAACCGGCUCUGAUACCAAAUAUAACGACCUAGCCCACUAGCAAU
This 216-nucleotide long non-coding RNA is filed under the name Ananas comosus (pineapple). Its description in RNAcentral is "long non-coding RNA (ACOM_LNC030560)". The record is from RNAcentral. Lineage: Eukaryota; Viridiplantae; Streptophyta; Magnoliopsida; Poales; Bromeliaceae.